Bacillus rossius redtenbacheri is the source of this 367-nucleotide long non-coding RNA. RefSeq lists it as uncharacterized. The transcript is spliced from 2 exons. The record is from RefSeq and is a predicted model, not a curated record. Lineage: Eukaryota; Metazoa; Arthropoda; Insecta; Phasmatodea; Bacillidae.
CGGUCUUUUCCAGCACCUUGACGCCAUGUUUUCUUAAGGCUAAAUUCAUUCUUGUGGGAGUUUGUGAUUUUCAACAUGCAUUAAGCAUCUCUAAACCGCACUAAGUGCCAAAUGCAUAUGUACAACUAAUGCUAUCUCCUCGCUGUCCAUUCUUCAACUGGCCAGCCACUCGGGUCGCACAGCGAGUGGCGAGAAUGUAGGUGGCGCCACCCAGGUCGCUCGUCUGACAGAGGCCUUACGUCAAUGGACAGCGCGUGACGUCAUUUGCCGUGAGGGGCCGCCAGCUAGCUCCGAACCUGGCGCACGUCAGGGUCCUGUCUGCAUCCAUAACAAUAGUUCAAAAUAAAAUACCAAUGAUUAAUUGUGA